UACGGAGGAUGCGAGCGUUAUCCGGAUUUAUUGGGUUUAAAGGGUGCGUAGGCGGCUUUUUAAGUCAGCGGUGAAAUUUUGCAGCUUAACUGUAACAGUGCCGUUGAUACUGGGGAGCUAGGAUUUGGUUGCUGUGGGUGGAAUGUGUGGUGUAGCGGUGAAAUGCUUAGAGAUCACACAGAAUAUCGAUUGCGAAGGCGGCUCACAAAGCCAAGAUUGACGCUGAGGCACGAAAGUGUGGGGAUCAAACAGGAUUAGA
RNAcentral lists this ribosomal RNA (259 nucleotides) under uncultured prokaryote. Its description in RNAcentral is "partial 16S ribosomal RNA". It matches the Rfam family "Bacterial small subunit ribosomal RNA", at positions 524 to 782 of the family's 1533-position model. The record is from RNAcentral.